UGAGUCUAUAGUUCAAUAGUAGAACACCAUGCUUUUAACUUGGAGAUAGAGGUUCAAAUCCUCUUAGACUUACCUU
RNAcentral lists this transfer RNA (76 nucleotides) under Bacillus phage vB_BspM_AgentSmith. RNAcentral describes it as "tRNA-Lys". It matches the Rfam family "tRNA". From Rfam's summary of the family: Transfer RNA (tRNA) molecules are approximately 80 nucleotides in length. Their secondary structure includes four short double-helical elements and three loops (D, anti-codon, and T loops). Lineage: Duplodnaviria; Heunggongvirae; Uroviricota; Caudoviricetes. The record is from RNAcentral.